GAUGAACGCUGGCGGUAUGCUUAACACAUGCAAGUCGAACGCAGACUUUCGGGUCUGAGUGGCGGACGGGUUAGUAACGCGUUAGAAUCUGGCUUCAGGUUGGGGACAACCACGGGAAACAACGGCUAAUACCCAAUGUGCCGUUCAGGUGAGAGAUGAAUUGCCGGAAGAUGGGCUCGCGUCUUAUUAGCGAGUUGGUGGGGUAAGAGCUCACCAAGGCGAAGGUCAGUAGCUGGUCUGAGAGGAAGAUCAGCCACACGGGGACAGAGACACGCCCCAGACCUACACGAGGGAGAGGAGUGGAAAAUUGUACGCAAGGCGGGAGAGUCUGGCAGAGAAAUACCGCGUGGGGGAGGAAGGCUCGUGUGUUGUAAAGCUCUUUCCUCAGAGAAGAAGGCAAUGACGGUAAUUGAUGAAGCAGCAUCGGCUAACUCCGUG
RNAcentral lists this ribosomal RNA (438 nucleotides) under uncultured bacterium. Its description in RNAcentral is "partial 16S ribosomal RNA". It matches the Rfam family "Bacterial small subunit ribosomal RNA", at positions 28 to 507 of the family's 1533-position model. The record is from RNAcentral.